CACCAGUGGCGAAGGCGUUCUCUGGACUGUAACUGACGCUGAGGCUCGAAAGCGUGGGGAGCAAACAGGAUUAGAUACCUGGUAGUCCACGCCGUAAACGAUGAAUACUAGGUGUAGGGGUUGUCAUGACCUCUGUGCGCCGCUAACGCAUUAAGUAUUCCGCCUGGGGAGUACGGUCGCAAGAUUAAAACUCAAAGAAUUGACGGGGGCCCGCACAAGCAGCGGAGCAUGUGGUUUAAUUCGAAGCAACGCGAAGACCUUACCUAGACUUGACAUCUCCUGCAUUACCCUUAAUCGGGGAAGUCCCUUCGGGAACAGAAGACAGGUGGUGCAUGGUUGUCGUCAGCUCGUGUCGUGAGAUGUUGGGUUAAGUCCCGAACGAGCGCAACCCUUAUUGUUAGUUGCUACCAUUUAGUUGAGCACUCUAGCGAGACUGCCGGGUUAACCGGGAGGAAGGUGGGGAUGACGUCAAAUCAUCAUGCCCCUUAUGUCUAGGGUACACACGUGCUACAAUGGCAAGUACAAAGAGAAGCAAUACUGCGAGGUGGAGCAAAACUAAAAACUUGUCUCAUUUCGGAUUGUAGGCUGAAACUCGCCUACAUGAAGCUGGAGUUGCUGUAAUCGCGAAUCAGAAUGUCGCGGUGAAUACGUUCCCGGGCCUUGCACACACCGCCCGU
This 677-nucleotide ribosomal RNA is filed under the name uncultured bacterium. Its description in RNAcentral is "bacterial SSU rRNA". It matches the Rfam family "Bacterial small subunit ribosomal RNA", at positions 707 to 1397 of the family's 1533-position model. The record is from RNAcentral.